RNA transcript from Phyllostomus hastatus (greater spear-nosed bat), 1877 nucleotides. It is a transcript of the gene named dolichyl-phosphate N-acetylglucosaminephosphotransferase 1, with no coding region annotated. The record is from RefSeq and is a predicted model, not a curated record. Lineage: Eukaryota; Metazoa; Chordata; Mammalia; Chiroptera; Phyllostomidae. The transcript has 9 exons.
CUUAAGUUGCUAUAUAGAGGCCUGCGGGAGUGGCGAAGGAGACUCUUCAGAAUUGUUGGGUUUUGCUCAGGCAGGUGUGGGAACACCAGCCUGUGGAGAGCGUCCUCUCCUCACUGCUGGGGGCUCAGGACUUCUUCCCUGCUUGAGCAUUAGCUGAGGAGGCAGCAGAGUGGACCCCCCUGGUCCGUCACUAUGAGGGCCUUCCCGGAGUUGCCAACGCCGUUGCUGGUGAAUUUGAUCGGCUCGCUGCUAGGGUUCGUGGCCACAGUCACCCUCAUCCCAGCCUUCCGUGGCCACUUCAUCGCCGCCCGCCUCUGUGGCCAGGACCUCAACAAAUCCGGCCAGAAGCAGAUCCCCGAGUCCCAGGGAGUGAUCAGCGGUGCUGUUUUCCUUAUCAUUCUCUUCUGCUUCAUCCCUUUCCCUUUCCUGAACUGCUUUGUGGAAGAGCAAUGUAAAGCUUUCCCCCACCAUGAAUUUGUGGCCCUGAUAGGUGCGCUCCUUGCCAUCUGCUGCAUGAUUUUCCUGGGCUUCGCGGAUGAUGUCCUGAAUCUGCAAUGGCGCCAUAAGCUGCUGCUGCCCACAGCUGCCUCACUACCUCUCCUCAUGGUCUAUUUCACCAACUUUGGCAACACGACCAUUGUGGUACCCAAGCCCUUUCGACCGAUUCUAGGCCUGCAUUUGGACUUGGGGAUCCUGUACUAUGUCUACAUGGGGCUGUUGGCAGUGUUUUGUACCAAUGCCAUCAAUAUCCUAGCAGGAAUUAAUGGCCUAGAGGCUGGCCAGUCACUAGUCAUUUCUGCUUCCAUCAUCAUCUUCAACCUGGUAGAGCUGGAAGGUGAUUGUCGAGAUGAUCAUGUUUUUUCCCUCUACUUCAUGAUACCCUUUUUUUUCACCACCUUGGGAUUGCUCUAUCAUAACUGGUACCCAUCACAGGUGUUUGUGGGAGAUACCUUCUGUUACUUUGCUGGCAUGACCUUUGCCGUGGUAGGCAUCUUGGGACACUUCAGCAAGACCAUGCUACUCUUCUUCAUGCCCCAGGUGUUCAACUUUCUCUAUUCACUGCCUCAGCUCCUGCACAUCAUCCCCUGUCCUCGCCACCGUGUGCCCAGACUUAAUACCAACACAGGCAAACUGGAGAUGAGUUAUUCCAAGUUCAAGACCAAGAGCCUUUCUUUCUUGGGCACCUUUAUUCUAAAGGUAACAGGGGAAAAAGGAGAUAGCAGAGAGUCUCCAGCUGGUGACAGUGCGCCAGAGUGAGAAUGAGGAUGGUGCCUUCAUUGAGUGUAACAACAUGACCCUCAUCAACUUGCUACUUAAAGUCUUUGGGCCCAUGCAUGAGAGAAACCUCACACUGCUCCUGCUGCUGCUACAGAUCCUGGGCAGUGCUGUCACCUUCUCCAUUCGGUACCAGCUUGUCCGACUCUUCUAUGAUGUCUGAGUCCCUGGUCAUUGCUCUUAUUUCACAUUUCCAGGAUUCCUGACUCAAACCAACCUCAUUCUAGAACAAGAUUGCUUCUCAGCCCAGGCCCCUCCCACACCUCAUUCUUCUUAGCAUUUCCUUUCCCCUGUGGUUAUUGACAUACUGGCCCUUUCUUGCCCUCCAGUGACUAUUGAUUGGAUUUUGCCUGUAGUUUUCUUCAGCUUACCACUCUCCCUAUCCAUCACAUCUUUGCAGCCCCCUAGGUUGGAAAACUGCAUUGACUUUCAAGGAAUAUGUUGGGCCUGGGGAUAGAACCCUGGCUGGUAAGAGGGACACAGGCUCGAAGACGACUUCACAUUAGACUAUAAAUUAAGUAUUCUAAUUAGUAAAAUCAGGUGGGGGGUUGGGGAGACAGGUGCUCCUAGUGAUAACAAUAAAGUAUUGUCUUGUUCUUGUA